RNAcentral lists this long non-coding RNA (2093 nucleotides) under Cricetulus griseus (Chinese hamster). RNAcentral describes it as "lncRNA (ENSCGRG00015034064.1)". The record is from RNAcentral. Lineage: Eukaryota; Metazoa; Chordata; Mammalia; Rodentia; Cricetidae.
CCAUGGUUUCUGGUUCUUACCGAAAGUGUGACUGUACCCAGCCAGGCUGCUCGGAUUUUUGAAAGACUACAUUUCCUCAUGUCCCUAUCAACAGUUUGUGUUGGUUGAGAUAGGGUGUGCUGGUUGCAGGGAGAGGUGGCAUUUCUGUGCCUGUGCAGUCUGAAUAAAGGACACAAACACUUGUCCCCCUAAAGGAACAGUUGAGAAAUUGUCCCAAAAAGCCCUUUCACCUCUCCAUGCGGGUUCCAUGAGGAAGUGGGCAGCUGUAAGAGUUUCGAAUCCCCUUAGCAAUCGGGAAAAUUUAAGCAAACACAGAAGCUGACCUCUUAUGUUGAAAAAAAAAGAGUCUCUCUCUCUCUCUAUAUAUAUAUAUAUAAAAACCCACAUGCUGGAUCUCAUUGCAUUUUAGACCAUGGCUAAGCACUUCACGGACAUAUGUCCCCUGCCUCCUGAGUCCAUGACCCGAGCUUAUCUGGGUCUGUGGGAAAGUCAGCCUGCUGGGGUGAUAGGUUGAGGCAGGUGGAGCUGACGGACACCGGGUCAAUGGUUAGGAGGCUCUCUUCUCCUGGCUGAUGCUCAGGCAGGGGAGAAGAUGGCAGCUGUAGCAAAGGCUUGUUGGAUGCAGAGAGUGGGCUGUGUCUCAGGGUAGGGAUGCUUCUGGGAGGUGGUGGAGCUGGACCGUGGGUCAUGGCAGGGUUAUGUUCUGAGAUACAGGCGUGUUCGCUGGCCAUGGGCUCAGCGCCUGUCAGCUUUUGCUGUGUAACUAGUCCCCUGCCUUUCAAAAGUUAGGGGCUUAAACGUGCCUCUCUUGUCUCCGGUUUCUGAAGGUUGGACUUCUGGGCACUUGGGAAGGAGACAAAGCCUCAUUAGCGUGAUGCUUUGGAGCAGCAAAGAGAUGGCUGGAUGACUGGAGAGGCUGUGUCUGUAGCCAAACAGGGUGGAGUUGCUACCCCAGCAGUGAGGCUUAGGGGGCCAGAGGCAGCAUAUGCCACCUGGCUGGACUUCAGUAGAGGAGGGGACCUGACAGCAGCUGUGGCCCAGCAUCAAGGGACAGGUGAAGUGACUCUUCAGUCCUGUCUGUCGAGGCCCUGGAGGCUGAGGGCAGAAGUCUCCAGAGCUCACCGCUCCCGGACAAGGGGGAUGGCUGUUGAGUGGGCCUUGCCCUUGGAGACUCUAUUCUACAAGCAGCUUUGGACUCCAUCUUGAAUGUGGCUUCCGGGUGGACCCUGCAGCUGCACCAUCUGCCAGGUACCAUCCACCCAGCACAGACCGACAAAUGACUUAUUCCACGUUACAAGUUUGUUAGGGUGAAUUGAGGCUAUAGGGGGCAUGUGAGUGUAGGUUGUAGGCUGUAGGGGGCACAUGGGUGUAUUGAGAUCCUAUCAGGGAAUCAUCAAACACACCAGGUCAGGGAAAAUACGACUCCUCUGGACACCAUAGUGAUGUUACCUGACAGUGCAAUGACAUGGCUCCACACCAACCUGUCAUUUACCCGGUGUGUACCUCAAGGACCAGCAAGCAGAGGACUGCCUGAUUCUGAUGCAGCCUAUUGCCUGGCUGCCUGUCCACCAUCUGGACCUGAACUUGCCAUUUCUUUCUCUGGACCUCGAUCUGCUUUUUUCAUCAUAGCUGGACAGUUUCACUCUCAACCCUUGACUUCAGCGGUGGCGGUGACAACCCCCUCUUUGCACUGGUGUGGUGUGAUGUCUUAUCUGUCUGCCCAUCCAUCCAUCCAUCCAUCCAUCCAUCCAUCCUAUGUAUAUAAGUGCUCUAUUGGCAUAUACAUGGACAUACCCAGAAGAGGGCAUCAGAUCCCAUUAUAGGUGGUUGCGAACCACCGUGUGUUUGCUGGGAAUUGAACUCAGGUCCUCUAAGAGAGCAGACAGUGCUCUUAACUGCUGAGCCCGCUCUCCAGCCCAAGGUAUCUUAUCAAUACAGACUCUCAGGCCACUUCUGAAGUGUUUGGAACUCUGCUGUAGCCUCUUUAACUGUAUUCUUUCUGUAAAGAUGCAUACAUAGACACAGACAUCUCUCCUAUGUGCCUUCUGCUGUGUAAUAUGAGAGUUUACAUUAGUAAUUAAGAUCAGAAAAAG